CAUGAAGCCGGAAUCGCUAGUAAUCGCGAAUCAGAAUGUCGCGGUGAAUACGUUCCCGGGUCUUGUACACACCGCCCGUCACACCAUGGGAGUCGGUAACACCCGAAGUCGGUAGUCUAACCGAAAGGAGGACGCCGCCGAAGGUGGGAUUGAUGACUGGGGUGAAGUCGUAACAAGGUAUC
Molecule: ribosomal RNA, 182 nt
Filed under: uncultured bacterium
Lineage: Bacteria
Description: partial 16S ribosomal RNA
Rfam family: Bacterial small subunit ribosomal RNA
Source: RNAcentral